UGUCGCUGUCGCUCUUUAAUCAGCAUGAAUGUACAAAGUGAGGCUAGUGAGUGAGUGCAUUACGAAGUGGACGAUAACAAAAGUCAAAAAGUGAUAUCCCCAAACUCAAACAUAUUUGUCACAUUUAUCAGUAGUUCAGACAGGUGACACUGCAGGGGGGAUGGCUUGGGCACACGUCUGGCUCCUUACCUGCAGACCUGCAAACUUAACCAGGUGUCAAACUUACAGCAGUCUGUCCUGAAGAGACUGAUGAGAGCAGCACCACUGACUGUCGGGACUCUUGGAGCAUUCACAGGAUGAAGGAAAUAUCAAACCAGGCAGGCCAGUAAGACUUCGGGAGGAGACCAGAAGAUAGGAUGUGAGUCAAAGAUAUAGUACGAGUAAAGACCACGUGUUCUGCAUGGACUGCACGCAGCCUUGUCUUACAAUGUGUUGCAUAAAGAAACGGACUGAGUAGAGUCCUCACGAGGAAGAGGACUUCCACCAGAUCCGUUCCUGGUCCGGCUUCCAUCCGCUGCGGUCCA
Long non-coding RNA from Notolabrus celidotus (New Zealand spotty), 524 nucleotides. RefSeq lists it as uncharacterized. The transcript is spliced from 6 exons. The record is from RefSeq and is a predicted model, not a curated record. NCBI's taxonomy places the organism in Eukaryota, Metazoa, Chordata, Actinopteri, Labriformes, Labridae.